This 698-nucleotide ribosomal RNA is filed under the name uncultured bacterium. RNAcentral describes it as "bacterial SSU rRNA". It matches the Rfam family "Bacterial small subunit ribosomal RNA", at positions 641 to 1330 of the family's 1533-position model. The record is from RNAcentral.
CUUGAGGAUGGAAGAGGAGAGCGGAACUGCCGGUGUAAGGGUGAAAUCUGUGGAUAUCGGCAGGAACGCCAGCGGAGAAGUCGGCUCUCUGGUCCAUUUCUGACGCUCAGGGACGAAAGCUAGGGGAGCGAACAGGAUUAGAUACCCUGGUAGUCCUAGCUGUAAACGAUGGGCACUAGAUGCUCGUUCUUUUGAAUGGGUGUCGUAGCUAACGCGUUAAGUGCCCCACCUGGGGACUACGGUCGCAAGACUAAAACUCAAAGGAAUUGACGGGGGCCUGCACAAGCGGUGGAACACGUGGUUAAUUCGAUGCUACGCGAGGAACCUUACCAGGGCUUGACAUGCUGGAAGUAGCCACCCGAAAGGAUUGGCCACCUGUAACCAAUCAGGAACCAGUGCAGGUGCUGCAUGGCUGUCGUCAGCUCGUGCCGUGAGGUGUUCCCUUAAGUGGGAAAACGAGCGCAACCCUCGUCCUUAGUUGCCACCUUCGAGUAAUCGGAGCGCACUCUAAGGAGACUGCCCGCGUUAAGUGGGAGGAAGGUGAGGAUGACGUCAAGUCCGCAUGGCCCUUAUGUCCUGGGCUACACACGUGUUACGAUGGCGCAUACAAUGGGGGGCUAAGCCGUAAGGUGGAGCAAAUCCUAUAAAGUGUGCCUCAGUUCGGAUUGAGGGCUGCAAUUCGCCCUCAUGAAGCUGGA